GACGAACGCUGGCGGCGUGCUUAACACAUGCAAGUCGAACGGAAAGGCCCUGCUUUUGUGGGGUGCUCGAGUGGCGAAAGGGUGAGUAACACGUGAGUAACCUGCCCUUGACUUUGGGAUAACUUCAGGAAACUGGGGCUAAUACCGGAUAGGAGCUCCUGCUGCAUGGUGGGGGUUGGAAAGUUUCGGCGGUUGGGGUUGGACUCGCGGCUUAUCAGCUUGUUGGUGGGGUAGUGGCUUACCAAGGCUUUGACGGGUAGCCGGCCUGAGAGGGUGACCGGCCACAUUGGGACUGAGAUACGGCCCAGACUCCUACGGGAGGCAGCAGUGGGGAAUAUUGCACAAUGGGCGGAAGCCUGAUGCAGCAACGCCGCGUGCGGGAUGACGGCCUUCGGGUUGUAAACCGCUUUCGCCUGUGACGAAGCGUGAGUGACGGUAAUGGGUAAAGAAGCACCGGCUAACUACGUG
RNAcentral lists this ribosomal RNA (468 nucleotides) under uncultured bacterium. RNAcentral describes it as "partial 16S ribosomal RNA". It matches the Rfam family "Bacterial small subunit ribosomal RNA", at positions 28 to 507 of the family's 1533-position model. The record is from RNAcentral.